CUUGGACUGAAGGGAGCUCCC
This 21-nucleotide non-coding RNA is filed under the name Citrus sinensis (sweet orange). Its record names the gene csi-miR159c-3p. The record is from miRBase by way of RNAcentral. Lineage: Eukaryota; Viridiplantae; Streptophyta; Magnoliopsida; Sapindales; Rutaceae. RNAcentral also lists the same sequence under 5 other names.